RNAcentral lists this ribosomal RNA (507 nucleotides) under uncultured bacterium. RNAcentral's name for it is "bacterial SSU rRNA". It matches the Rfam family "Bacterial small subunit ribosomal RNA", at positions 29 to 518 of the family's 1533-position model. The record is from RNAcentral.
ACGAACGCUGGCGGCAUGCCUAAUACAUGCAAGUCGAGCGAAUGAUGAAGAAGCUUGCUCUUCUGAUUAGCGGCGGACGGGUGAGUAACACGUGGGCAACCUACCCUAUAGAUUGGGAUAACACAGGGAAACCUGUGCUAAUACCGAAUAAUACAUUUCCUUUCAUGAGAAGAUGUUGAAAGAUGGUUUCGGCUAUCACUAUAGGAUGGGCCCGCGGCGCAUUAGCUAGUUGGUGAGGUAAUGGCUCACCAAGGCAACGAUGCGUAGCCGACCUGAGAGGGUGAUCGGCCACACUGGGACUGAGACACGGCCCAGACUCCUACGGGAGGCAGCAGUAGGGAAUCUUCCACAAUGGGCGAAAGCCUGAUGGAGCAAUGCCGCCGUGAGUGAUGAAGGAUUUCGGUUCGUAAAACUCUGUUGUAAGGGAAGAACAAGUAGCGUAGUAACUGGCGUUACCUUGACGGUACCUUAUUAGAAAGCCACGGCUAACUACGUGCCAGCCGCUGC